GACGAACGCUGGCGGCGUGCUUAACACGUGCAAGUCGAACGGUGAAGGGGCCUGCUUUUGUGGGCCCUGGAUGAGUGGCGAACGGGUGAGUAACACGUGAGUAACCUGCCCCCUUCUUCUGGAUAACCGCAUGAAAGUGUGGCUAAUACGGGAUAUUCUGGGUCUGUCGCAUGAUGGGUCUGGGAAAGAUUGCGCCUUUGGGUGUUUUUGGUGGGGGAUGGGCUCGCGGCCUAUCAGCUUGUUGGUGGGGUGAUGGCCUACCAAGGCGGUGACGGGUAGCCGGCCUGAGAGGGUGGACGGUCACACUGGGACUGAGACACGGCCCAGACUCCUACGGGAGGCAGCAGUGGGGAAUAUUGCACAAUGGGCGCAAGCCUGAUGCAGCGACGCCGCGUGAGGGAUGGAGGCCUUCGGGUUGUAAACCUCUUUCGCCAGUGAAGCAGGCCUGCUCCUUGUGGGUGGGUUGACGGUAGCUGGAGAAGAAGCGCCGGCUAACUACGUG
RNAcentral lists this ribosomal RNA (502 nucleotides) under uncultured bacterium. RNAcentral describes it as "partial 16S ribosomal RNA". It matches the Rfam family "Bacterial small subunit ribosomal RNA", at positions 28 to 507 of the family's 1533-position model. The record is from RNAcentral.